Molecule: long non-coding RNA, 2203 nt
Organism: Onychostoma macrolepis
Lineage: Eukaryota; Metazoa; Chordata; Actinopteri; Cypriniformes; Cyprinidae
Exons: 3
Source: RefSeq, a predicted model, not a curated record
UUAAGUGCCUCAAAGCUCUUUUUUUCAUAAUGGGUUCCUGGAGGAACCAUUUCAGUCUUUGCAGUUCUUGCAAGAACUUAUGGGAUCCUUGAAGCACUUUGUUUCCAGUUCUGAGGUUCUGGAGUCACCCUUUCAUUACACUGAGACCUCAAAGUGCUCUGGAGGUUCCUGGAGGAACUCAAAUUUUUUAAAAGGGUUUUUGUAAGAUCUGUUAACAUUGAAAUGGUUCCUGGAAGCUCUGACUUGUAUAAGCCAGCAUCUGGAGGAACCCAGAGAUUCAUGUGACAGAAAUGAAAUAGGACUGAUUAUUAUUAUUGUUGUUAUUAUUAUUAUUAUUUACUUUUUUGGAAUGGUAUGGAACGUAAUCACUUUUGUGGCACUUGGCAUGUGAAAACAAAAAACUUGGGCAUGAUUAGAAAAGACUAAAUAGUCUUACAAAUUGUCAAAAAAAGGGACAUGCAAAAUCUAAAAAUCAGCCACGUAUAUCUAAAAAUUAUGUCUGAAAACACUGUUUUCAGCAAUAGGGAAUAUACACACAAGGCCAUACAGGCAGGCAGUGGCUACACCAUGGUAUUACAGAUUAUUUUCUUUCUUUCUUUCUGUCAGAUUGCACUUUUAUGCCUCCAUUUGUUGGAUUUUAAAUACCUUUGUUGUAUAACUUAAAUACUGCAAUAACUGAAAAAAAGUUUUUAGUUUAGAAACAAAUGUAAAAUUAUUUGAAGGUAGAUAUUGUUUUCCCUGAAACUUUAAAGCAAACAUUAAAAAUAUUAUUGAACUAAAUAUGGCUCAACACAUUGAUUUAAUUAAAAAUACACUAAUUAUAACAAUCAGUACAAGUGUAAUAUUUAUAAUUUUUAUUUCCCUAAUGAAAUAACUUUCAAUUAUUCAGAAAUAAUUGUUUAACAAUUAAUAUAAUAAAAAAGUAUGCUGUUGUCAGUCAGAAGAAAAUGUCCUCGAGCACCUGCUGUCUGCUCGCGCGCGCACAAGUGCGAUUUCAAAUACAAAGUAUCAUUAACGGUUCCUCUCCUCAAAGAAACAACCACAGCGCUGGACUGUCGAACAAAAGGUGAGUAAAUUCUCCAAAAUAAAUAUACAGAUUUACUAUUUGUACACAAAUUUCUGUACUGACACGCUUAACUGUAUGUUUUUAUAUUUAAAUGUUUGUUGUAUACCAUUUUAACCGCUAAUUUAAUAAUCGCGAUGCUAGCUAUCAUAAUGAACUUAGUGGGGCGAAAUGGAGACUAUUAAAUCACAAACGGCGAUUUUUAGUCAGCUUUGUUCAUUAUGUUCAUUGUAACUCUGUUCUUUUCUGAACUAAUUUGUUGUCGUUUACGUUUGUUAAUCGUUACCCAUCCAUGUUACAUGUAGACUAUCUAAUAGCUUAUUUUUCGAUUCAUUUAACUUACAGAAGAAAAACUGUUUUUGUCCUUUUCUCUCCUCAGAACGUGUACGUUACAUACUUGAGUUCUCUUAAAAUGUCACAGGGUUCACUGAGCAGCACUAAUCAGUUAAUGAAGACAUAUGUUUCAUGAAUAUGGCUCUGUAGUGGACUGCUGGAGCUGCUGAUGUCUGUUGCUGGCUGACAAUAAAGUGAUCUCUUUGGACUUACCUCAUCUUUUGAAGGUGUGUAAAUAACAACAAUUGAGGAGAAACAUCAGAAACCGAUCUAAAACAUUCAAUUACUUAUAGUUUAUAUGUUUUAUUUUUUUCCACUUUUAUAUUCUUCUGAGAAAUCCGAGCCUUGCUCCUGAUCCUGCUGUGCUGGACUGUAUAUGAUUAAUUGAGAAUCUUACACUAACUGUGGUAAUGGAGACCCAUUUGGUGAGAGCAGCACUGCAGAUUUUCCUGAUGGUGAGGAGCUACUUGCUGACGAACCCACCAACAUGAUUUCACUUUAUAAGUGCCUUUGUUCUAUUCAACAUUAUACAGAAAAGCUGUUAAACGUACAGCAAAGUGUACUAUUUUUCUGCUGCUAUUUGUUGGGUAUUCAAGAGGAGAUCAUCAAGCUACCUACAGCUGUCUUGAGGCUUAUCAAUUUCUUAACUUCCUGUGUGAAUUUUCCCAAUAUGUGACCUCUAUUUAGAACAAGAAAGAAUGUUAAUGACUGCGAUGUACAUUAAAUUUGCUCAUUUGAAUUGUACUAUUUUUGAGGUAUGAUUGUUUUAAAGUUCUAAGAUAUUUGAGUCACAUUUAUUUGUUUAUG